Molecule: transfer RNA, 66 nt
Filed under: Paranephrops planifrons
Lineage: Eukaryota; Metazoa; Arthropoda; Malacostraca; Decapoda; Parastacidae
Description: tRNA-His
Rfam family: tRNA
About the family: Transfer RNA (tRNA) molecules are approximately 80 nucleotides in length. Their secondary structure includes four short double-helical elements and three loops (D, anti-codon, and T loops).
Source: RNAcentral
AUUUAAGUAGUUUAAUAAAAAUGUUGGUUUGUGGAAUCAAAGAUAUAAUAGAAUUUAUUUUAAAUC